Molecule: ribosomal RNA, 540 nt
Filed under: Oceanobacillus picturae
Lineage: Bacteria; Bacillati; Bacillota; Bacilli; Caryophanales; Bacillaceae
Description: bacterial SSU rRNA
Rfam family: Bacterial small subunit ribosomal RNA
Source: RNAcentral
AGGCUCAGGACGAACGCUGGCGGCGUGCCUAAUACAUGCAAGUCGAGCGCAGGAAGCAGUUGCUCCCUUCGGGGGUGACGCUUGUGCUUAGGGACCCCCAGGUGAGUAACACGUGGGCAACCUGCCUCUUUAGCGGGAAACCCCGGGAAACCGGGGCUAAUACCGGAUAAUACUUUCUUUUGCAUAAAGGAAAGUUGAAAGGCGGCUUCGGCUGUCACUUACAGAUGGGCCCGCGGCGCAUUAGCUAGUUGGUGAGGUAACGGCUCACCAAGGCGACGAUGCGUAGCCGACCUGAGAGGGUGAUCGGCCACACUGGGACUGAGACACGGCCCAGACUCCUACGGGAGGCAGCAGUAGGGAAUCUUCCGCAAUGGACGAAAGUCUGACGGAGCAACGCCGCGUGAGUGAUGAAGGUUUUCGGAUCGUAAAACUCUGUUGUUAGGGAAGAACAAGUUGGGUAGUAACUGACCCAACCUUGACGGUACCUAACCAGAAAGCCACGGCUAACUACGUGCCAGCAGCCGCGGUAAUACGAAGGUG